Molecule: ribosomal RNA, 229 nt
Filed under: uncultured bacterium
Lineage: Bacteria
Description: partial 16S ribosomal RNA
Rfam family: Bacterial small subunit ribosomal RNA
Source: RNAcentral
UGCGUAGGCGGAAUAUUAAGUCAGUGGUGAAAUCCUGCGGCUCAACCGUAGAACUGCCAUUGAUACUGAUAUUCUUGAAUGUAGUUGAGGUAGGCGGAAUGUGUAAUGUAGCGGUGAAAUGCUUAGAUAUUACACAGAACACCGGUUGCGAAGGCAGCUUACUAAACUAUGAUUGACGCUGAGGCACGAAAGCGUGGGGAGCGAACAGGAUUAGAUACCCUGGUAGUCC